Small nuclear RNA from Hyaena hyaena (striped hyena), 105 nucleotides. NCBI's taxonomy places the organism in Eukaryota, Metazoa, Chordata, Mammalia, Carnivora, Hyaenidae. The record is from RefSeq and is a predicted model, not a curated record.
GUUCACUUUGGCAGCACAUAUACUAAAAUUGGAAUGACACAGAGAAGAUUAGCAUGGCCGCUACGCAAGGAUGACACGCAAAUUCGGGUUCUGUGACUCCCUCUC